AGGAGACUCGGGCCGGGCAGGUUGUACUUCACAUUGUUUCCCUUGAUUUGAGUGUGAGUUGUGCGGACAUUGCUAGCGGAAUCCCUUAAAUUUUCAUAUUUGUAUUCCGAUAUUCGUGGAUUACUCAUGUUAUAGUCAUACUAAGAUGGCGUCCCAGGAUGGAGAUCAUGAUGGAUAUGUUCCCGGUCCUUAUACAUCAAAGAAAAUUAUCCAAAAGUGGUUGUUUUAUGGCGGUGGUAGAGUCGAUGUGUGUGAGGUUGACCAAGGUAAAGGGAAUAUACCUUUACCCUGAUGUUGACAGUAGCGACCAAGGAGGCUAAAGACUUUAUUAUCUUCUCUGGUAACGACUCAGUGGGUGAUCUACAUUAUAUACCUGAGAAAGACUUAUUCUGCUGAGAGAGGCGAUGACACUGAUAGUGCGAGGUAACGGACAAACCUGGAAACGUAAUGUGAUGUAUAUACAAAGAAAAAAAAAAAAGAAGGUGGGGGGGCGCCAAGAAUGUGUUACCUGGCAACAUAAAGUUGACACUACAUGGCGUUGCUGGCACUCAGUACCUACGUCCUUCACUACCGAUGGGGACUCCAAGAGACUGUUCCAGCUCAUGGGGUGCUUAACGGCGUACGUGGUGGCGGGAAGCGUCUUCAGUCCUGUGUGAAAUGGCGUGAAUCAGUAGAGAACGCCUCGCCUGAGUAGUCAUCGCACCUUCCUGCACUUCAGUUGCCUGGGCGCGGGGCGUGGAUGGCCAUUAUGGGACAAGGCAUCGUGGGCGGCAGGAUGAAGCAAUAGUACUAUGACUAUCAUCUGAAAUGCCGUUAGUGUCAGUGGAUACUCCUUUAUGAUCCCUGCUGCUUCGUAUCAUGGUGCGACUCGCCCACCGUUUUCUUCGCGCCUCAGGUCAAUGCCAGGACAGGACGUCAUCUUGUAGACAGGAGAGAGCCACUUAAGGAUUUUAGAAAUCAGCCACCACACACCCUUUCAAAAACCCAUGUGCUGCAAGCAAAAGACAGGGAGGAGGAGUGAGGAUUCAAAGUGAUAUAUAUCUGCUGUAACACUGAUGUCAUGGCAUACAUCUCCGUGGUGAAGUUAUGAAUGCGUCCAGAGAAAAGCGUAAUAUUUAUUAUCAGUAUUGCUGAAGUAUCUAAGUAUUUGCCGCUUUUAUAGUUUGAUAUUGUUUUGGAUGGUAUUCUGCUGUGAAAGGGGCCUGUAAUCGGUGUCUGUAGUGAAAUUGUACUAAAUUGUGAAAGGGCCCUGUGAGGCCCUGUGAUCGGUGUCUAUAAAAUCUGUAAUCGGUGUCUAUAUAAAAUUUGUAUAGUUA
This is a long non-coding RNA of Scylla paramamosain (green mud crab), 1316 nucleotides long. RefSeq lists it as uncharacterized. The record is from RefSeq and is a predicted model, not a curated record. The transcript is spliced from 5 exons. NCBI's taxonomy places the organism in Eukaryota, Metazoa, Arthropoda, Malacostraca, Decapoda, Portunidae.